GUAGUCCACGCCGUAAACGAUGAAUACUAGGUGUAGGGGUUGUCAUGACCUCUGUGCCGCCGCUAACGCAUUAAGUAUUCCGCCUGGGGAGUACGGUCGCAAGAUUAAAACUCAAAGGAACUGACGGGGGCCCGCACAAGCAGCGGAGCAUGUGGUUUAAUUCGAAGCAACGCGAAGAACCUUACCUAGACUUGACAUCUCCUGCAUUACUCUUAAUCGAGGAAGUCCCUUCGGGGACAGGAUGACAGGUGGUGCAUGGUUGUCGUCAGCUCGUGUCGUGAGAUGUUGGGUUAAGUCCCGCAACGAGCGCAACCUUAUUGUUAGUUGCCAUCAUUAAGUUGGGCACUCUAGCGAGACUGCCCGGGUUAACCGGGAGGAAGGUGGGGAUGACGUCAAGUCAUNAUGCCCCUUAUGUCUAGGGCUACACACGUGCUACAAUGGUCGGUACAAAUGAGACGCAAGCCCCAGCGGAGGGGAGCAAAGCCUGGAAAAUCCGAUCGUCAAGUUCAGAUUCG
RNAcentral lists this ribosomal RNA (515 nucleotides) under uncultured bacterium. RNAcentral's name for it is "bacterial SSU rRNA". It matches the Rfam family "Bacterial small subunit ribosomal RNA", at positions 790 to 1301 of the family's 1533-position model. The record is from RNAcentral.